RNAcentral lists this long non-coding RNA (1390 nucleotides) under Gossypium barbadense (sea-island cotton). Its description in RNAcentral is "long non-coding RNA (GBAR_LNC008979)". Lineage: Eukaryota; Viridiplantae; Streptophyta; Magnoliopsida; Malvales; Malvaceae. The record is from RNAcentral.
UAAAAGUCGAUCCCAUUUUUUUCAAAUAAAAAUGGUUUCGACAAAAGUAUUUGUGUAUGUAAAUAUAUAUUUGCUAAUGAAUAAAUGAUUCAUGAUAAUACACUAUGAUUAGAUUUGUGAAAGUUUAGAAUUAUGUUUUUGUACUAUAAUACCUUGUAAUCCUAGUCCGGCAACGGAUACGAGUUAGGGGCGUUACACAUACCACUAUGGUCUUUGGACAUUUAACAAGGAAUAGUUGUACCCUUAAACUUUCUUGGCUAAGGACAUACACGUUGUAAACGGGCCAAUUUGCCCGAGCCCACGUUAGAACCAAAAUACAAAAUAAAGAAACAAAAAAACCAAUAAUUAAUUAAAUGUCCUGUUAUAGUCCAAAUUAAAUGUCCUGUUAUAGUCCAAAGCCCAAAAUUAAUUCAAGACCUUAAAACCCAAAUAACCCCAAAUUAAAGACCCAAAUAUCCUACAGCAAAAUACCCAAUCCCAAUUACAUGACCCUAUAACUAAUACCCUAGCCCAUUUACAAAACAAUCCAAAGCCUCAAGGCCCAAAUGGCCCAAAAACUAAAACUGCUUCAGCAACCCUAGGUCACCCCUCCCUUCUUUGCGUUGUAGUCGAGGCCCUAGCGCCAUACGCUCCGUAUCGUCAGCAGCCACGCCCGCGCCAGCACAGCCUCCGUACGAUGCCAAUGCAUACCCCGUACCUGCUAGUAAGCCAAAACAACAGCAGCAACACGAAAACAAAAGGAAAAAUUGUAUUUUUUACUUUUUUUUGGAACAUUCGGCUAUAAAAGCCUACUAUCUUUGAUUGUAAAGUUUUUUUCAGAGGAAUACACGCACAUUUUUGCAUAUUGAAUACAAAGAAAAUAAAUCAAAACCUUGAAAAGGUGAUUAUUCGGCUUUGGACCUUCUUUCCUGUUUGUUUUCAUCUUCUUUUCUUAUUGUUUGGUUGCACAUACUGUUAUUUCGAGCAUAAAAAGGGGUAAAAGGGAGCAAAGGGGUUACCUAUACGCAUGAACCGCCGGAAUCCUCGUCUCCUUCACUUUAAUCGAAGUCGGGAUGAGGUGUAAGGGCUGAAAUCGGAAGUCCUUAAAGCAAGGACCCAAGCAGGGUCGGCGAGAGUACAAAUCUCCCUCCGUCGAUCACCGUUCGGGGUGGUCAAGUGGCGGCUAGGACCUCUUGAGAUUCAAACAGAAGGAGGGGAUUAGGUUUCGGCUGAGGAGAAAGGAUUGGGGGGCUAGGGUUUGAAUGAUUGUUUCAGUUUCAGCUCUUUUAAAGGGACAAAUACGACGCCGUUUCGAGCCUGUUUCAGUGGCUCAAAAACGACGUCGUUUGGUAAGAGCCCCGACCCGAUCCAGUUUGCUGUCCCAAGGACCCACGCAUUUUUUCGGUAAGGG